UACGGAGGGUGCAAGCGUUGUUCGGAAUCACUGGGCGUAAAGCGCGUGUAGGCGGUCUGCUAAGUCUGAUGUGAAAGCCCGGGGCUCACCCCCGGAAGUGCAUUGGAAACUGGCAGACUGGAGUCCCGGAGAGGAGGGUGGAAUUCCUGGUGUAGCGGUGAAAUGCGUAGAUAUCAGGAGGAACACCGGUGGCGAAGGCGGCCCUCUGGACGGUGACUGACGCUGAGACGCGAAAGCGUGGGGAGCAAACAGG
RNAcentral lists this ribosomal RNA (253 nucleotides) under uncultured bacterium. RNAcentral's name for it is "partial 16S ribosomal RNA". It matches the Rfam family "Bacterial small subunit ribosomal RNA", at positions 524 to 776 of the family's 1533-position model. The record is from RNAcentral.